GGACGAACGCUGGCGGCGUGCUUAACACAUGCAAGUCGAACGGUGAAGCGCCUUCCUUUUUGGUGGGUGUGGAUGAGUGGCGAACGGGUGAGUAACACGUGAGUAACCUGCCCCCUUCUUCUGGAUAACCGCAUGAAAGUGUGGCUAAUACGGGAUAUUCUGGGUCUGUCGCAUGAUGGGUCUGGGAAAGAUAUUGUUUCGGUGGGGGAUGGGCUCGCGGCCUAUCAGCUUGUUGGUGGGGUGAUGGCCUACCAAGGCGGUGCCGGGUAGCCGGCCUGGGGGGGUGGACGGUCAGACGGGGACUGAGACACGGCCCGGACUCAGACGGGAGGCAGCCGGGGGGGAUAUUGCGCAGUGGGGGAAAGCCUGAUGCAGCGACGCGGCGGGAGGGAUGGAGGCCUUCGGGGUGUGAACCUCUUUCGCUAGUGAAGCAGGCCUGCCUCGGUUGUGGGUGGGUUGACGGUAGCUGGAUAAGAAGCGCCGGCUAACUACGUG
Molecule: ribosomal RNA, 495 nt
Filed under: uncultured bacterium
Lineage: Bacteria
Description: partial 16S ribosomal RNA
Rfam family: Bacterial small subunit ribosomal RNA
Source: RNAcentral